GAUGAAGAACGUAGCGAAAUGCGAUAAGUAAUGCGAAUUGCAGAAUCCGUGAGUCAUCGAAUCUUUGAACGCACAUUGCGCCCGCUAGUAUUCUGGCGGGCAUGCCUGUUCGAGCGUCAUUACAACCCUCAGGCCCCCGGGCCUGGCGUUGGGGAUCGGCGGAAGCCCCCUGCGGGCACAACGCCGUCCCCCAAAUACAGUGGCGGUCCCGCCGCAGCUUCCAUUGCGUAGUAGCUAACACCUCGCAACUGGAGAGCGGCGCGGCCACGCCGUAAAACACCCAACUUCUGAAUGUUGACCUCGAAUCAGGUAGGAAUACCCGCUGAACUUAAGCAUAUCAAUAAGCGGAGGA
RNAcentral lists this unclassified non-coding RNA (352 nucleotides) under soil metagenome. Its description in RNAcentral is "partial contains 5.8S ribosomal RNA, internal transcribed spacer 2, and large subunit ribosomal RNA". The stretch from base 1 to 119 matches the Rfam family "5.8S ribosomal RNA", at positions 35 to 154 of the family's 154-position model. The record is from RNAcentral.